UAUUGCUGGUUCAGUUCCAGACCAUCACAAUAAAGUGAAUAUCAUGAUAAGGUUUCUCAUGUACAAGGAGGAAAAGAGGCCAAACACGGAAACCCCAUGCAGUGACUGCCUCCUUUGGAUCAGCAUGUUAUGAAAAGUCGGUACCUGCCAUUCUGAUUGACUGAGAGCAACAGAAAACCCCUGAGGCCUUCCGGUUCAGUUGGGAUUGUAAUGAUAGACCAGCAAGACAAAAGCCUGCCAGAACAUUAGCUUCAACUGUAUGACAAUGCCCUUCCCAAGAAGAUAUGAUGCUGUGUAGAUGAAUAUAGAUUGAAAACGUGGAUCCUGUCAGCAGCACUGAUUUCACUCAGAAAACUUGUAUACUGGGAGGAUGCUGUGUCUGCUCAGGGUUAGGACUCCAGCAAUGUGUGAAAAAUUCAUUUUCCCAGCUGCAAACACUCAUGCUUCUAGUUGUACAAGUGGUAACUUGAGGGUCCACGCUAAUGUUGAAGCUUAGACAGAAAUAGGUGUGUGUGUGUGUGUCUAUCCCUGCUACGAAUGAGCAGGUACUUCUUGGCCUAAUCGUAGGGCAUGGGGGAGGAUCCACACAUUGCUCAAAAAUAAAAUUUCUUUCUGGA
RNAcentral lists this long non-coding RNA (617 nucleotides) under Homo sapiens (human). RNAcentral describes it as "HSALNT0097303". The record is from RNAcentral. Lineage: Eukaryota; Metazoa; Chordata; Mammalia; Primates; Hominidae.